UUCGCCUACGGGACGCAGCAGUGAGGAAUAUUGGUCAAUGGGCGCGAGCCUGAACCAGCCAAGUCGCGUGAGGGAAGACGGUCCUAUGGAUUGUAAACCUCUUUUGUCGGGGAGCAAAAGACGCCACGCGUGGCGUUCCGAGAGUACCCGAAGAAAAAGCAUCGGCUAACUCCGUGCCAGCAGCCGCGGUAAUACGGAGGAUGCGAGCGUUAUCCGGAUUUAUUGGGUUUAAAGGGUGCGUAGGCGGAAGGUUAAGUCAGCGGUCAAAUGUCGGUGCUCAACACCGGCCUGCCGUUGAAACUGGC
Molecule: ribosomal RNA, 305 nt
Filed under: uncultured bacterium
Lineage: Bacteria
Description: bacterial SSU rRNA
Rfam family: Bacterial small subunit ribosomal RNA
Source: RNAcentral